ACUCCUACGGGAGGCAGCAGUGGGGAAUAUUGCACAAUGGGCGCAAGCCUGAUGCAGCGACGCCGCGUGGGGGAUGACGGCCUUCGGGUUGUAAACCUCUUUCACCAUUGGCGAAGCCGGAAGCUUUUGUUUCUGGUGACGGUAGGUGGAGAAGAAGCACCGGCCAACUACGUGCC
This 176-nucleotide ribosomal RNA is filed under the name uncultured bacterium. RNAcentral describes it as "partial 16S ribosomal RNA". It matches the Rfam family "Bacterial small subunit ribosomal RNA", at positions 335 to 509 of the family's 1533-position model. The record is from RNAcentral.